Molecule: transfer RNA, 72 nt
Filed under: Camelus bactrianus (Bactrian camel)
Lineage: Eukaryota; Metazoa; Chordata; Mammalia; Artiodactyla; Camelidae
Also listed under: 2 other names
Rfam family: tRNA
About the family: Transfer RNA (tRNA) molecules are approximately 80 nucleotides in length.
Source: Rfam by way of RNAcentral
GUGGGUCUAGCUCAGUGGUAGAGUGAAUGCUUAGUGUGCAUGAGGUCCUGGGUUCAAUUCCCAGUACCUCUG